AUGGAUUGGAACUAUGAUUCAUCUGAUGAGGACUACAGCUAUGAUGAAGAUUCAGAUGGUCAUAUAAGGAAGAGGAAGAGUUCAUUCCCAAGAUACAACCCUGAAAGUGAAGUACCACAUUUUGCUUUGACCAUGGUUUUUAGAAGCAAGAAUCAGCUAUGCAAAGCUUUGAGAAGAUAUGGUCUAGUAACAAAGAGGAGCAUUAAGUUCAUGAAAUCUGAGUGUGACAGAGUUAGGGCAAAGUGUGGAUGGCCUGGCUGCCCAUGCUGA
RNAcentral lists this ribosomal RNA (270 nucleotides) under Triticum aestivum (bread wheat). RNAcentral's name for it is "partial small subunit ribosomal RNA". The record is from RNAcentral. Lineage: Eukaryota; Viridiplantae; Streptophyta; Magnoliopsida; Poales; Poaceae.